CCUACGGGGGGCAGCAGUAGGGAAUAUUAGUAAUGGGCGAAAGCCUGAACUAGCAACGCCGCGUGUGCGAAGAAGGCCUUCGGGUUGUAAAGCACUUUUUGAGAGGAUGAGGAAGGACGGUACUCUCAGAAUAAGUCUCGGCUAACUACGUGCCAGCAGCCGCGGUAACACGUAGGAGGCGAACGUUAUCCGGAUUUACUGGGCGUAAAGCGCGUGUAGGUGGUUUGGUAAGUAGGGCGUGAAAGCUCCUGGCUCAACUGGGAGAGGCCGUUCUAAACUGCCGAACUAGAGGAUGGUAGAGGGAGGUGGAAUUCCGGGUGUAGCGGUGGAAUGCGCAGAUAUCCGGAGGAACACCAGUGGCGAAAGCGGCCUCCUGGACCACUCCUGACACUCAGACGCGAAAGCUAGGGUAGCAAACGGGCUUAGAUACCCGGGUAGUC
RNAcentral lists this ribosomal RNA (440 nucleotides) under uncultured Anaerolineaceae bacterium. RNAcentral describes it as "bacterial SSU rRNA". It matches the Rfam family "Bacterial small subunit ribosomal RNA", at positions 338 to 795 of the family's 1533-position model. The record is from RNAcentral. Lineage: Bacteria; Bacillati; Chloroflexota; Anaerolineae; Anaerolineales; Anaerolineaceae.